UAAUACAGAGGCCUCGAGCGUUAGGCGGAAUCACUGGGCUUAAAGCGUGUGUAGGCGGAUGUCUAAGUGCCUUGUGAAAUCCCACGGCUCAACCGUGGAACUGCUGGGCAUACUGGAUGUCUUGAGCGGUCUAGGGGCGAGCGGAACAGAUGGUGGAGCGGUGAAAUGCGUAGAUAUCAUCUGGAACGCCUAUGGUGAAAACAGCUCGCUGGGGACCUGCUGACGCUGAGACACGAAAGCCAGGGGAGCGAACGGGAUUAGAUACCCCGGUAGUCCUGGCCCUAAACGAUGUCCACUAGAUCGUAGGACCUCUGACGGUUUUACGGUCGAAGCAAAAGUGCUAAGUGGACCGCCUGGGAAGUACGGUCGCAAGGCUA
This 377-nucleotide ribosomal RNA is filed under the name uncultured bacterium. RNAcentral describes it as "bacterial SSU rRNA". It matches the Rfam family "Bacterial small subunit ribosomal RNA", at positions 521 to 896 of the family's 1533-position model. The record is from RNAcentral.